Molecule: non-coding RNA, 873 nt
Filed under: Lepidophyma pajapanensis (Pajapan tropical night lizard)
Lineage: Eukaryota; Metazoa; Chordata; Lepidosauria; Squamata; Xantusiidae
Description: partial 12S ribosomal RNA
Rfam family: Bacterial small subunit ribosomal RNA
Source: RNAcentral
CAUUUUGGUCCUUGACGCGCUAUUACUUAUAACCUAGAUUACACAUGCAAGCCUCCCCAUACCAGUGAGAAGCCCAACAGACUCUUUGCGGAGUCCAGGAGACGGUAUCAGGCACGCCACGUACAGCCAAUUACACCACGCGACUUGCCACACCCACAAGGGCCCCAGCAGUGAAUAGUAUUAAAACAUAAGCGAAAGCUUGAUUUAGCUAGGGUUAAAUUAAAGCCGGUAAAUCUCGUGCCAGCCACCGCGGUUAUACGAGAGGCCGAAAACAAUAGCAUCCGGCGUAAAGAGUGACGAAAGAAAAGUCAACACAUUAAGGGGGAACCAACCCUAAGCCGUGAAACCCAUAAGGAAAUAAGAACUUCACCAACCCUUAAAAUCAAAAGGACAACUCAAACUCACGAAAGUUGAGACACAAACUUGGAUUAGAUACCCAACUAUGCCAACCCUAAACUUAGAUGGCCAAGAACAUUAAGCCAUUCGCCAGGGAACUACAAGCUAAAGCUAGAAACCCAAAGGACUUGGCGGUGCCCCACACCAAACUAGAGGAGCCUGUCCCAUAAUCGAUACUCCACGAUACACCUCACCACCUUUUGACAAUUCAGCCUAUAUACCGCCGUCGCCAGCCUACCACAUGAGGGCAAAAUAGUGGGCACAAUCGUACGCACAAACACGCCAGGUCAAGGUGUAGCUAAUAAGGUGGCGGAGAUGGGCUACAUUUCCUAAUACAGAUAGACACGAAAGGCCGACUGAAAACCGGGCCAGAAGGUGGAUUUAGCAGUAAGCUAAAUAAGACCUACUAACUGAAGAACGCACUGGGGCACGCACACACCGCCCGUCACCCUCCUCAAUGCAACCCAACCCAUUAAC